UUUAUCAGGGGGAAUAGCCUUUCGAAAGGAAGAUUAAUACCCCAUAAUAUAUAGAGUGGCAUCACUUUAUAUUGAAAACUGAGGUGGAUAAAGAUGGGCACGCGCAAGAUUAGAUAGUUGGUGAGGUAACGGCUCACCAAGUCGAUGAUCUUUAGGGGGCCUGAGAGGGUGAUCCCCCACACUGGUACUGAGNNNNNNACCAGACUCCUACGGGAGGCAGCAGUGAGGAAUAUUGGACAAUGGGUUAGCGCCUGAUCCAGCCAUCCCGCGCGAAGGACGACGGCCCUAUGGGUUGUAAACUUCUUUUGUACAGGGAUAAACCUAUUUACGUGUAAAUAGCUGAAGGUACUGUACGAAUAAGCACCGGCUAACUCCGUGCCAGCAGCCGCGGUAAUACGGAGGGUGCAAGCGUUAUCCGGAUUUAUUGGGUUUAAAGGGUCCGUAGGCGGAUCUGUAAGUCAGUGGUGAAAUCUCACAGCUUAACUGUGAAACUGCCAUUGAUACUGCAGGUCUUGAGUAAGGUAGAAGUGGCUGGAAUAAGUAGUGUAGCGGUGAAAUGCAUAGAUAUUACUUAGAACACCAAUUGCGAAGGCAGGUCACUAUGUCUUAACUGACGCUGACGGACGAAAGCGUGGGGAGCGAACAGGAUUAGAUACCCUGGUAGUCCACGCUGUAAACGAUGCUAACUCGUUUUUGGGUUUUCGGAUUCAGAGACUAAGCGAAAGUGAUAAGUUAGCCACCUGGGGAGUACGAACGCAAGUUUGAAACUCAAAGGAAUUUGACGGGGCCCGCACAAGCGGUGGAUUAUGUGGUUUAAUUCGAUGAUACGCGAGGAACCUUACCNAGGCUAAAUGGGAAUUGAUCGGU
This 867-nucleotide ribosomal RNA is filed under the name uncultured bacterium. RNAcentral's name for it is "bacterial SSU rRNA". It matches the Rfam family "Bacterial small subunit ribosomal RNA", at positions 131 to 999 of the family's 1533-position model. The record is from RNAcentral.